UACGGAGGGUGCAAGCGUUAUCCGGAUUCACUGGGUUUAAAGCGUGCGCAGGCGGUUUUGUAAGUCUGUCGUGAAAUCCCCGGGCUUAACCUGGGAAUGGCGAUGGAGACUGCAAGGCUAGAGUUUGGCAGAGGGGGGUAGAAUUCCACGUGUAGCAGUGAAAUGCGUAGAGAUGUGGAGGAACACCGAUGGCGAAGGCAGCCCCCUGGGUCAAGACUGACGCUCAUGCACGAAAGCGUGGGGAGCAAACAGG
This 253-nucleotide ribosomal RNA is filed under the name uncultured bacterium. Its description in RNAcentral is "partial 16S ribosomal RNA". It matches the Rfam family "Bacterial small subunit ribosomal RNA", at positions 524 to 776 of the family's 1533-position model. The record is from RNAcentral.